This is a long non-coding RNA of Hibiscus syriacus, 150 nucleotides long. RefSeq lists it as uncharacterized. The record is from RefSeq and is a predicted model, not a curated record. NCBI's taxonomy places the organism in Eukaryota, Viridiplantae, Streptophyta, Magnoliopsida, Malvales, Malvaceae. The transcript is spliced from 3 exons.
AAAAGUUUUGUAAGAAAAAUUAAAGAAAAAACUUUUAAAAAAUUACAUACUAGUGUGUAUAAAUUGGAAGAGAGUGAAUGGCCAAGAAUUUGGACAUGAGGUUUAUCAGCAGCAGCAGAUGGCUUGAUGUCACGGCCAUUGGUUACUUGC